RNAcentral lists this ribosomal RNA (424 nucleotides) under Fusobacteriota bacterium. RNAcentral describes it as "Fusobacteria bacterium partial 16S ribosomal RNA". It matches the Rfam family "Bacterial small subunit ribosomal RNA", at positions 355 to 776 of the family's 1533-position model. Lineage: Bacteria; Fusobacteriati; Fusobacteriota. The record is from RNAcentral.
UGAGGAAUAUUGGUCAAUGGGCGAGAGCCUGAACCAGCCAAGUCGCGUGCAGGAUGACGGCCCUAUGGGUUGUAAACUGCUUUUAUGUGGGGAUAAAGUGCGUGACGUGUCAUGCAUUGCCGGUACUACAUGAAUAAGGACCGGCUAAUUCCGUGCCAGCAGCCGCGGUAAUACGGAAGGUCCGGGCGUUAACCGGAUUUAUUGGGUUUAAAGGGAGCGUAGGCUGUCUAUUAAGCGUGUUGUGAAAUUUACCGGCUCAACCGGUGGCUUGCAGCGCGAACUGGUCGACUUGAGUAUGCAGGAAGUAGGCGGAAUUCAUGGUGUAGCGGUGAAAUGCUUAGAUAUCAUGACGAACUCCGAUUGCGCAGGCAGCUUACUGUAGCAUAACUGACGCUGAUGCUCGAAAGUGCGGGUAUCAAACAGG